UACGUAGGGUGCGAGCGUUGUCCGGAAUUACUGGGCGUAAAGGGCUCGUAGGCGGCCAACUAAGUCGGAUGUGAAAUCCCCAGGCUUAACCUGGGAACUGCAUCCGAUACUGGAUGGCUUGAAUCCGGGAGAGGGAUGCAGAAUUCCAGGUGUAGCGGUGAAAUGCGUAGAUAUCUGGAGGAAUACCGGUGGCGAAGGCGGCAUCCUGGACCGGCAUUGACGCUGAGUGAGCGAAAGCCAGGGGAGCAAACGGG
RNAcentral lists this ribosomal RNA (254 nucleotides) under uncultured bacterium. RNAcentral describes it as "partial 16S ribosomal RNA". It matches the Rfam family "Bacterial small subunit ribosomal RNA", at positions 524 to 776 of the family's 1533-position model. The record is from RNAcentral.